RNAcentral lists this ribosomal RNA (214 nucleotides) under uncultured Phaeocystis. RNAcentral's name for it is "partial Eukaryotic large subunit ribosomal RNA". It matches the Rfam family "Eukaryotic large subunit ribosomal RNA", at positions 58 to 268 of the family's 3401-position model. The record is from RNAcentral. Lineage: Eukaryota; Haptophyta; Phaeocystales; Phaeocystaceae.
AAAGAAACCAACAGGGAUUACCUCAGUAACGGCGAGUGAAGCGGUAAGAGCUCAAAUUUGAAAGCUGGCUCCUUCGGGGUCCGCAUUGUAAUUUGCAGAGGAUGCUUCGGGAGCGGUCCCCAUCUAAGUGCCCUGGAACGGGACGUCAUAGAGGGUGAGAAUCCCGUAUGGGAUGGGGUGUCCGCGCCCGUGUGAAGCUCUUUCGACGAGUCGA